AUCCAGCUGACGAGUAGCAAAUAGGACGAACCGCGCGUUCUGGAU
This is a non-coding RNA of Schistosoma rodhaini, 45 nucleotides long. Lineage: Eukaryota; Metazoa; Platyhelminthes; Trematoda; Strigeidida; Schistosomatidae. The record is from Rfam.